This is an RNA transcript of Cryptomeria japonica (Japanese cedar), 4018 nucleotides long. It is a transcript of the gene named putative leucine-rich repeat receptor-like serine/threonine-protein kinase At2g24130, with no coding region annotated. The transcript has 2 exons. The record is from RefSeq and is a predicted model, not a curated record. Lineage: Eukaryota; Viridiplantae; Streptophyta; Pinopsida; Cupressales; Cupressaceae.
UCUUCUAUUUAUUCCUCAAUCUCCAUCUCAUUCCAUUCUAUUCUAUCCUACUUCCUUGUGUGUUUCCCACUGUCCUUGUUUGGUCUGCCAUGGCUUCUCUUUUGUUAUUCCCCUUCAUGCUUUCCAUCUUUUCAAUCUAUGCUCUUCCUCACUCUGUCAAUAAUCUCUCCCAUCAUCAACAACAUUUGCUCUUGCGAUGCAAAACUGCCAUUUCUAACAAACAACAGUGUGCUGAUCGACUGGACUCCCCUUCACCCUGCAUGCAAUUGGACAGGGGUUACCUGCGAUGCCUCUUCUCACUCCGUCCUUGCCCUCAACUUAUCCCAAAUGGGUUUAGAUGGCAUCAUUUCUCCCCUGCUUGGGAAUCUCAACUCUCUUCUGUCUAUCGAUAUCUCCGGGAAUGCCCCCACAGGUACCAUUCCACCUCAUCUCGGCCAACUUGCCCAUCUUCAGACACUCUGGCUGUAUGAAAAUCAGUUGCAAGGAACUAUUUCUCCGGAGUUGGGGAAUCUCUCCUCUCUUCACUUCUUAGAUUUGUCCUACAAUGCUCUCACUGGUCACAUUCCUCCUCAACUCAGUCAACUUCGUCGUCUGCAGCACCUCUGGCUGUACAACAAUCAACUACAAGGAAGCAUUCCACCCUCUUUCUCCGCUUGCCGCAGUCUGUAUGAGCUGGAACUCACCUCUAACUUACUGCAUGGUAGCAUUCCGCCCGAGCUGGGUCUCCUCCAAAGUUUGCAGAUCCUUUAUUUGGCUGAAAACAAUCUCACCGGUACCAUUCCUCUUUCUUUCAAAAAUCUGUCCAAUUUAGUUGAAUUAGAUUUGGGACGAAAUGAUCUCACAGGUACCAUUCCCCAUGAACUAAUCAUACUCACUCACCUGCAGGAACUUUACCUUUUUGAAAAUAUCUUAUCAGGCACCAUUCCAAGUUCUUUAGGAAAUCUGUCUGCCUUGAUUGUUUUAGAAUUGGGAGAAAAUAAUCUCUCUGGCCCUAUUACCCCUGAAUUGGGCAUGCUCACUAACUUGAAGAUUCUUUACCUUUCUAAAAAUAACUUAUCAGGCACCAUUCCUAGUUCUUUAGGAAAUCUGUCUUCCUUGACUAGUUUAGUAUUGUUAAACAACGAUCUUCAUGGCUCCAUUCCCCCUGAACUAGGCAUGCUCACGCACCUGCAGUUUCUUUAUCUUAAUGCAAAUAACUUAUCGGCCACCAUUACCAUUUCCUUCAAAAAUUUAUCAAGGUUGCAUGAAUUAGAUUUAUCUCAGAACCAGCUUAGCGGACAUAUUCCAAGGGAAAUUGGUCACAAUCUCUACAAUUUGCGGCAACUCAAUUUAUGGGGAAAUCAGCUCAGUGGAAACAUACCCAACUCCCUAGGAAAUUGUUCGAGUCUCACGCUACUACUUUUAAAUACAAAUCAUUUCAGUGGAGUGGUUCCAAUGGAGCUGAGAAACUUGAACCUUCUUAUUUUGCUUGACCUACAGUUCAGUCAACUCGUUAGUGACAAAAGUAACACAGUGGCCUUUCUCACUGCUCUCACAAACUGCUCCUACUUGGAAGAAUUAUUUGUGUCACAUAAUUACCUGACUGGUGUUUUGCCGCCAUCAAUAGGUCAACUUUCCUCCAGUCUCUCUCGCUUGAGUUUAUCAGGCAACAUGAUGAGCGGAAGCAUACCAGAACAGAUUGCUAAUCUGACAAACUUGACCUACUUAAAUUUAGGUAAUAAUCUUUUCAGCGGCAAUAUUCCAUCUCGAAUGGAAAGAUUCCGUAUGUUGGAAACAUUGAAUUUGGGUGGGAACAAAUUAGAAGGAAUCAUUCCAAGUGAGAUAGGUCAAAUGCAACAUCUCGGACUCUUAAAUCUGAGUUACAACCAGUUAUCUGGAAAAAUACCAGAUUCUCUUUGUAACCCCCAACAGCUAAGGCGUCUUCAUCUUCAGCACAACAUGUUAUCAGAAGAGAUCCCUGUUAGCUUAGAGGGAUGUCAGAGGUUGGAGCUCUUUGAUUUGUCUUACAAUAAACUAGGGGGAAGGAUACUAGGUGAAGUCCUUGCCAGCCUUUAAAACCUACAGUUCUACCUCAAUCUUUCAAGUAAUUUUCUGCAAGGGUCCUUGCCACGGGAAAUAAGUAAAAUUGCAAUGGCUCAAGCCAUAGACAUCUCUGGAAAUCGACUUGCAGGGGUGAUUCCAAAUUCUAUAGGAGACUGCACAGCAUUAGAGCAUCUAAAUCUGUCCCAUAAUGCCUUUGAAGGUCUAAUACUAGAUUCACUUUCCAAAUUACAGAAUCUCCAUGAAAUGGAUCUUUCUGCCAACAUUUUAUCAGGUUCAAUACCAAUGUCCCUUGAAAGACUAAAGGUACUUCACUACAUGAAUGUUUCUUUCAAUAAUUUGUCAGGGCAGAUUCCAGGAGGAGGGUUGUUUCCAAAUAGAACUGUUACAAUAUUGUUUAUGGGAAACCUUGGGUUAUGUGGCCCAACAAAUUAUUCAUUGCCUCCAUGCCCAAAUCAGAGCCAGGAAAAAUAUUCACUGCUCAAAAAAAUAGUGUUUUCAGUUGUUGGAACCGUUGCACUGGUAUUACUCUUUUUCAUUGUAGGAAUGUUAUGCAGGCAUCAAAUUUCCAGACAACUAUUCCAUUCCUCAAACUUUACUUUUGAAAGGCUCAGCUAUCCGAAAUUUUCUUAUCACGAUCUUGUCAUUGCAACAUCUGACUUUGAUGAGUCUAAUUUGCUUGGAGUGGGUAACUUUGGAUCAGUCUACAAAGGCAUUUUGAGGGAUGGUAAGAUAGUUGCCAUCAAGACUCUUAAUUUGCAGAAUGAAGAAUCUCAUAAGAGUUUUAACACAGAAUGCAAAGUGCUAGGGAGGAUUCGGCACCGUAACCUCAUCAAAGUCAUAAGUGCGUUUUCCUACCCUGGCUUAAAAGGUUUGGUUCUUCAAUUUGCAUCCAACGGGAGCUUGGAAAAGCAUUUGCACCCUGACAGAGAUGAUCAGGACAGUUGUCAUUUGGGAUUGAGUGAGUGUUUAAGCAUUUCUAUAGAUGUAGCCCAUGGCAUGGAAUAUUUACAUCAUGAUUGUCCCUUGCAACUUGUGCAUUGUGAUCUAAAACCUAGCAAUGUGCUCCUGGAUGCCAACUUGACAGCCUUUAUGACUGAUUUUGGUAUAUCCCGUUUGAUUACUACAAACUCUAUAGAUUCACUGAGCACAACAACAUUUUCUCUCAAAGGAUCUAUUGGCUAUAUUGCUCCAGAGUAUGGAUUGGGCGGGAAUGUUUCUACAGUGGGAGAUGUUUUUAGUUAUGGAAUUCUGAUAUUAGAGAUGGUUACAAGGAAGAGGCCAAGUGAUGACAUGUUUGUGGGGGACAUGAACUUGCAAAACUGGGUGAGGUCAGCUUUUCCAAACAGACUGGCAGAUAUUGUUGAUAGUAGGCUAUUCAGAGAUGUGAAUGAAAACAUGGAAGACAAUAGAUGUCUCCUUUCUUUCAUUCAUGUUGGUUUGCUUUGUAGCAAUGUAUCACCAAGGGAACGACCUUCCAUGAGAGAUGUAGCCAAGGUCUUGGAGAACGUGAAGACAACAUUCAUGGGAGGUGCAGCUGCUUCCAAUUUAACAUCCACCAUAUCAGACCUCCUACGCAAUGCCAGUCAUACACAAGCAUUGGCCUCUGACAGUCAAAGUUCUACAUUUUAAAUGUUUAUAAGUUCCACUAAGAAUUUCUUGUCCUUUAGCUUUUGCUAAUUUCAAGUCAAGUUUGUCUUCUAUCACAGUUUAGCCUUCUUUCAUGUAAAAUGCUCCUUAUGUUACUUCUAGCCUUAAGCUCCAUUAAGAAAUUUUUGUCCUUUAUUAUUGCUAGUUUCGAGUUUGUCUUCUAUCACAGGUCAGUCUUCUUCCAUGUAAAAUUAUUCUUAUGUUAAUUCUAGCUUUUUGAGCUUGUAAGCUAAUCCAAUUAAUUAAUGUGUCCAUUAUACUAAUUUGAGAAAGUAUAUGGCUGUCUGUAUAAACUUACAGAAGUAACGUAUUGCCUUAUUUAUACCAA